Molecule: ribosomal RNA, 447 nt
Filed under: uncultured bacterium
Lineage: Bacteria
Description: bacterial SSU rRNA
Rfam family: Bacterial small subunit ribosomal RNA
Source: RNAcentral
UGGGGAAUAUUGGACAAUGGGCGAAAGCCUGACCCAGCAACGCCGCGUGAAGGAUGAAGUAUUUCGGUAUGUAAACUUCGAAAGAAUAGGAAGAAUAAAUGACGGUACUAUUUAUAAGGUCCGGCUAACUACGUGCCAGCAGCCGCGGUAAUACGUAGGGACCAAGCGUUGUUCGGAUUUACUGGGCGUAAAGGGCGCGUAGGCGGCAAUUCAAGUCAUCUGUGAAAUCUCCGGGCUUAACUCGGAACGGUCAGAUGAUACUGCUUUGCUAGAGUGCAGAAGGGGCAAUCGGAAUUCUUGGUGUAGCGGUGAAAUGCGUAGAUAUCAAGAGGAACACCUGAGGUGAAGACGGGUUGCUGGGCUGACACUGACGCUGAGGCGCGAAAGCCAGGGGAGCAAACGGGAUUAGAUACCCCCGUAGUCCCUGAGCGGGCUGGCAAGGCGCAU